AGCAGCCGCGGUAAUUCCAGCUCCAAUAGCGUAUAUUAAAGUUGUUGCAGUUAAAAAGCUCGUAGUUGAAUUUCGGGGUUAGUAGGUUGGUCAUGCCUCUGGUAUGUACUGGUCUCACUGAUUCCUCCUUCCUGAUGAGCCGUAAUGCCAUUAAUUUGGUGUUGCGGGGAAUUUGGACUGUUACUUUGAAAAAAUUAGAGUGUUUAAAGCAAGCUAACGCUUGAAUACAUUAGCAUGGAAUAAUGAAAUAGGACGUUCGAUCCUAUUUUGUUGGUUUCUAGGAUUGACGUAAUGAUUAAUAGGGAUAGUUGGGGGCAUUAGUAUUCAAUUGUCAGAGGUGAAAUUCUUGGAUUUAUUGAAGACUAACUACUGCGAAAGCAUUGUGCCAAGGGAUGUUUUCAUUAAUCAAGAACGAAAGUUAGGGGAUCGAAGACGAUCAGAUACCGUCGUAGUCUUAACCAUAAACUAUGCCGACUAGGGA
This 481-nucleotide ribosomal RNA is filed under the name uncultured Glomus. RNAcentral's name for it is "SSU rRNA". It matches the Rfam family "Eukaryotic small subunit ribosomal RNA", at positions 569 to 1052 of the family's 1831-position model. The record is from RNAcentral. Lineage: Eukaryota; Fungi; Glomeromycota; Glomeromycetes; Glomerales; Glomeraceae.